ACAAAUUCAACAUAAUAUUAUAUUGUAGUCCCAAAUUGAUUAAAAUACUCUUAACAUGUGUGAAAUCUAGAAUUUAGUAAAAUUAUACAAGCAUAACAGAUAUUAAUAAAUUGCCUGUGAAGGAGAGAGGUAGGUUAGAACUCAACAACAAAUCUCCCUUAUUCUGAAAAAAUAAGGUAAAUAGGACUCAGAGAGUAAAAUACAGAUUUUAAUCAUAAUUUCUAUAGCUA
This 230-nucleotide unclassified non-coding RNA is filed under the name Hevea brasiliensis (rubber tree). The record is from RNAcentral. Lineage: Eukaryota; Viridiplantae; Streptophyta; Magnoliopsida; Malpighiales; Euphorbiaceae.